UAUUUGUAUAGGUUUUAGAAGAGGAAGUGGUCCUUACACCACAAAAUUAUGGAAAAUGCCACUCCCAAAGAGCUACACAGAGAAGCAGGUCAUGGCCAUAUUUUGUCGUAACACAACAAUCAACAACUUGACCACAUACGUUAGUUUUUCUUUUUUUUUGAACUAAAAUUUUGGUUUGGUUUAGUUCGGUUUAGUUUUUUUUUGUGCAAUUUCGGUUUAGUUUUAUAAAGGUAAAUUUGAACUGAAACCAAGCUCUCUUACAUUUACACAAAAUGAUUUAAUUAGGGAAAAUUCUUAAAAAAAUAUCUGAAAUAAUUUCAUUUGCUAUAAAAAUACAUCAACUAUUUUGGUUUUUUUUUUUGUCAUCUAUUUUGGUUUUUGUUUAAUACACAAUUUUUUAUAUAUAAAUAAUACCUAAAUUUUUAAAAAUCGAAAGGUUUAUACCGCUAAAAUUACAAUGUUAUAUGUUGAUGGCGUUAGUUUUAAGUAUAAUUUUUUAAAAAGUUUAGAUAUUAGUUAAGUAUAAAAAAAUAAAUUAUGUAUUAAAAAGAAACUAAUAGUUUAUGUAUUUUUAUAGCAAAUGAAAAUUGUUUCAUGUAUUUUUUUGGAAAGUUUUCCAUUUAAUGUAUCCUAUCCUGUACUGUAAUGUUUAUCCUAUACCAAUAACUAAAAAAGGCAACAGCAUCAUGUAUUUAUAUAUUCCAGAUAUUGUUUCCUUCUUCUUUGUCCAGUAGUCAACUUAACAUCUAUUGUUGUUAUUUGCAUUUUACAUUUACUGACUUACUUUCAGAAUUUCAUUUUCUUUUCUACUAAAAAGAAUUUUCAGAAAGCUUUUGUUUUGUUUUUUCAUUUGGUCUCUCUCUUCUCUCUCUUUCUUUGCUCUUUCUAGUUCAAAUGAAUUGUUGAAAGACAGCAUUUUUUGGAUCUAAUCAAUUUGUCGACUUUACUACUUUGUAUUCGAGUGUGUAAGAUUUAGGGUUCAAGGUUUAUCUUUGAUUUUUUCGAAAUUAUAAAACAAAGAAACUGACCAAGAUAUUGAGCUAAAGAGGAGAGUUCUGAUUGAAGAAGGAUCAUCAAAGCAGUUUAGGUUCAGCAGUAAUGAAGAGCGAACAGUGCGCACAGAAACUACAAUCUUCCGCUCAAACUUCACAAGAGUCCCAAAGUGAACAGAAAGUUAACCAAUCAUUAGAUGCUUCUCCUAUACAAGAUGCCGUUUCUGUAUCUGCUCCAAGCAAUGAUAGUAGGAAAGUCUCAAGACAAGAUAUUGAACUCGUCCAGAAUUUGAUAGAAAGAUGUCUUCAGUUGUACAUGAACAAAGAAGAGGUGGUGAAGACCCUCUUGACCCGGGCAAGGAUAGAACCUGCAUUUACUAGCUUGGUUUGGCAGAAACUGGAAGAAGGAAACGCAGACUUUUUCAGGGCUUAUUACAUAAGGUUGAAGCUGAAGAAGCAAAUAGUUAUAUUCAAUCAGUUGCUUGAGCACCAGUACCAUCUCAUGAAGUAUCCUCCUGUUCCUCCAAAGAUUCCUCUGGCACCUAUGCCAAAUGGAAUGCAUCAUCCCAUGCCACCUGUAGUUGGCAUGCAAAUUGGGUAUCCAGUACUACCGCAUCCUCAAAUGCAUGUUCAAGGCCAUCCCCAUAUUGCUGCUGCAACGGCAAUGUCAAGCUGCCAUGUUGUUAACGGAGUCCCUGCACCUCCCCAUCUCCAGCCAUUGAGGAUGAACUCAACGAAUGAUAUGGUGGUUGAUGAUACAACCGUGGAAGAUGAAACUCCUCCUCAAGUGGUUCCACCAAGCAGUGGCGAGAUGGCAGUGAGUCCUGCUUCUGUGGCAUCAAGUGGACACUUUCCAUUUGUUGAUUCAGACAUGGUAAUGGACACUUCAGUGCUUGAUUCUGAGUUCACGGCUGAUGUUGGAGCAGAUGGAGGAGAAGGAGGAGGAGGAGCUGGGAAUUCUAGAGAUGCGUCAUUUGAUCAGAUUCCCUGGGAUUUUAGCCUUUCUGACCUCACUGCAGAUCUGUCAAACUUGGGAGAUGUGUAUGUUGGAGAUUUAGAAGCGUUAGGAGACUAUACAGGCUCACCGUUUCUUCCAUCUGACUCAGAGAUCUUGCUGGAUUCUCCUGACCAAGAGGGCAUAGAGGAGUUUUUCGCGGACUCCAUGCCUGGACCUCCUUGUUCUAGCUUAGAUGAAGAGAAGCCUUGAAUUGAAAAGGAACCGGCCAUAUAUAAUAACAAUCUUCUCCAGAGAAAUAACAAGCAUUGUUUUUUUUUUUACUUUAAUAACAAAUAUAACUACUGUUGUUAUUUAUAUCAUUAAGUACUUAUGAAUAAGAGAGGUUACAAAGCAAUUGUAACUGGGUAGUGCCUUCUUGUAAUAAAAUAGGCUUAGACUUGCAAACGGCUUCUUCAGCAUUACUUGUGUUGGGAAGCCUUUCAGGUUCUUGCUUGCAUAUCUUCAUCAAGCCUAGAUCAUUUUAACUCGUUUUUUUUUUGGCCUGUUUUAAAAUCGAUAAUUAUGUA
RNA transcript from Brassica rapa (field mustard), 2516 nucleotides. RefSeq lists it as uncharacterized. The record is from RefSeq and is a predicted model, not a curated record. NCBI's taxonomy places the organism in Eukaryota, Viridiplantae, Streptophyta, Magnoliopsida, Brassicales, Brassicaceae.